GCCUUCGUGGUGUAGUGGUCAGCACACUGAGCCGGUAUUUCAGAGGUCCGUGGUUCGAUUCCUGGCGAAGGCC
Non-coding RNA from Stegodyphus mimosarum, 73 nucleotides. NCBI's taxonomy places the organism in Eukaryota, Metazoa, Arthropoda, Arachnida, Araneae, Eresidae. The record is from Rfam.